This 350-nucleotide unclassified non-coding RNA is filed under the name soil metagenome. Its description in RNAcentral is "partial contains 5.8S ribosomal RNA, internal transcribed spacer 2, and large subunit ribosomal RNA". The stretch from base 1 to 120 matches the Rfam family "5.8S ribosomal RNA", at positions 35 to 154 of the family's 154-position model. The record is from RNAcentral.
GAUGAAGAACGUAGCGAACUGCGAUAAGUAAUGUGAAUUGCAGAAUUCAGUGAAUCAUCGAGUCUUUGAACGCACAUUGCGCCCCCUGGCAUUCCGGGGGGCAUGCCUGUCCGAGCGUCAUUGCUGCCCUUCAAGCCCGGCUUGUGUGUUGGGUCGUCGUCCCCCCCGGGGGACGGGCCCGAAAGGCAGCGGCGGCACCGCGUCCGGUCCUCGAGCGUAUGGGGCUUUGUCACCCGCUCGAUUAGGGCCGGCCGGGCGCCAGCCGGCGUCUCCAACCUUCUAUUUUACCAGGUUGACCUCGGAUCAGGUAUGGAUACCCGCUGAACUUAAGCAUAUCAAUAAGCGGAGGA